ACUGCUACUAUCAUCUACCUUAGGAUGCAAAGGCUCAAAAGGCAGUAACUACUUUCUAUUUGCUUUAUAUCGUACCUCAUAUCUCAGUUUAGAUGUAUACCUAUAAAAGGAAUAAUAAAUCCAGUGGAUAGAAGAGUGCCAAUGGCAUAUAAUGCCUAAUUUGAACACUGAAGGAAAUUCUCUGGAUAUAAACACAAUGCGUGAGGAGAUUUAAGUGAAACAUGGCAAAAUGUAGAAGGAUGGCAGAUGGAUGAACCCAGGGAAAAGGGGGAAGUUCUUGGAGUCUAGGUGUCAGUGGCAUCUUCUGAAAAGCAGAGCACAGCACAAGACAAAGAGAAUCCCAGUCUACAGGAAGGCCAAGUGGCCACGGCUACAGCAAACAGGAUCAUCCAAUUCUUGACUGCGGGGACUAGGUCCCGACUGCCUCUGGGAGUUAUUAGAAAGGAGACACACUCUGGAUUUAGAAAGACCCAUGUUUGACCCCUACUUCUGUCUAUUACUAGCCAUUUGACCUUGGAAAAUUUCCUUUACCUCCCUGAUCUUCCAUUUCUUCGUCUGUAAGACAAUCCUUCCCUCACAGGGUUGUUUCAAGGGUUAGAAAUGAUUUAUCCUCAUGGAUGGCAUACAAGAGGAGGUCACCGUUAUUGUGACCACCAUCAUUGUGAACGAUGAGGGAGAACAUUAAGGACUUCCCUGUCCCCCAGUAAUAUUCUGGGGUCUCAGACACAUGACUGGAGCUUCUGGGUUCUUGUGAGUCUUCUCAGGCCAAUAAAUGACCAAUAAAUCUAUAUCGUCUCUCAAAGUGAAAGAAAGGAUUCUUCACCCCGCCCCCAUGAUUCAGUUUGGAAAUCUUUUAGAUUGAAAAUGACAGAAAACCCAAUUUAAACUGGCUUAAGCAAGAGGGAACUUUGUUAGCUCACAUAACUGGAAAGGCCACAGAAAUGCUGGUUUCAGGACCAGCUAGAUUUGAGGUUUAAUCCCAGGUUUCAGGGAUCUCUCUCCUUCCCUGAUUCUGCUUCCCAUCCUCCAGGUUGGAUGUAGAGUGUGGUAAAACUUUACAGGAAAGAAGAAGACUAUUGACAGCUACAGCUUCACACAUUCUGCUCUCAGCAACACCAUGAAAAUAUUCCCUUGCUGGUCACUCCUGGAAAAGUCAGAGACUUGUGCUGCUUGGACCAACUUGGCUCCCAUUCCCGUCUUUGAACCAAUCCUCAGGACCAAUGCAAGGAAACUAUAUGGGUGAGUUUAGGCCUGGGUCCCACACCUAGCCCUAGGAGUAAAUUCAGCCCCACCUAAACCAUGUGAACAGAGAGUGGAGGAGGGUCUCUGAGAAAAAGAGAAGUGUUAUUAGCAGAAGAAGAAAAUGGAUGCUGGCAGACAAAAGCAACAGAUGCAUAACACAGGCCCUAAAUAACAUCAGGGAAAACAAUAAUAACCAGCAUUAAUUACCCCAUUUAAUCCUUAUAAUAAUGAUGCAAUGUAUAUAUUAUUAUUAUUAUUCUCAUUUAGCAGAUGAUGAAACUGAGAUAAAGAGAUGCUAAACAAUUUAUGUGAAGUCAUGACACUAGUGAAUGUCAGGGCUGAGAGUUGAACUCAAGCCAUUUGACUCAAGAGUCUGCGCGUACUCUGAUGAGCUGAAUAAUGACACCCAAAGAUGUCCAGGUCCUAAUCCCUGGAACCUGUGAAUAUAUUAUCCUAUAUGGCAAAAGGGACUUUGCAGAUGUGAUUAAGUAUUUGAGAUGGGGAGACUCUCUUGAAUUAUCCCAAUGGGCUCAAACUGUAAUCACAAGGGUUCUAAUAAGAAGGAGACAGAGCAAGAUUUGAUUACAGAGAGGAGAAGGCAAUGUGAUGAUGGAAGCAAAGAUGGAAGUGAUACACUUUGAAAAUGAAGGAAGAGACCACAAGCCAAAGAGUACAAGUGGCCUUUAGAAGCUGGAAAAUACAAGGAAACGUUCUCUUUUAGAAGAAACCAGUCCUGCUGACAUCUUUGCUUUAGCCUAGUGGAACUGACUUUUGAUUUCUCACCUCCAGAACUUGCAAGAAUAAAAUUUGUUGUCUUAAGCCAUUAAAUUUGUGAUAAUUUGUUACAGCAGCCAUGAGAAAAUAAUACACUUAUCACGCCAGCAUACAUACAUUCACACACACACACACGUGCAUGCACACACACACAUGCACACAUACACACACACCCCCAUCAGAACAAAUGCCUUUACAGAGUUGAGUGCCCUAGAGAGAGCCCUCAGGAAGCAAUAUGCGUCCAGAGAAAAAGUGGUGGUGUGCUGUGUAUCUUCCACAUGUCCCUCCGGAUCUUCUCUGAGCUUUCUCCACCCUCUUCUCUACCAGAAGGCUUAUAAGUAUGGAUAAUACUAACUGGUUCCCGAGCCCUGUGUCUUUCAGCUGGGUUUCCCAGUGGGGCAUACCAGCAGUACACCAAAAAGGAGGAAGAGAGUGAUGCUUGAGUAUAUAUUUCUUCAGUUUACAAUCUGACCAAGGGCUGGCUGCAUUUGAUGACUGAAGUCCACAGCUCCUAUGGGGGAGUUCUUUCCACACAACUGCAUCUUUUCUGGUUCCUGUAAGCACAUAAUCUCCUGCAUAAUCUCCUGGCUUAUGAAUGUGAUGGACUUCCCAUGAUUAGGUUAUAUUACUUGGCACAGUUGACCUUAAGAAAAAGGGACGUGCAGGUGGGCCUGGCAUUAUCAGGUGAACCUUAACAGAGUCUGGGCUCUUCCUGAGGAAAAGAUUAGAAGCAUGAGAGGAAUUAAUCUUGAGGGAGACUCUCCACUGCUGGCUUUGGAAAGGGAGGGUCCCACAUGGCACGGAUUGCAGGCAGCCUCUGGGAACCAAGAACUGCACAUGUGGGGCUGUUGUGAGAAUUAAAUGAGAUGAAGUAGCUAAGGCCCUUUGUGGGUCUUCAAUAAAUAUUCAUUCCCUUCUGCCAUUUUUAGGCCAUUUUCUAUGUCCACGAGAGCGGCUAGCACAACAGUAUAAGCUCAUUGCUGCAUCAAAUAAAACAAAUUAAAAAAUCCAUACAUUGGCUGUCUGAGUGAUGGAGAAGAAGGCAACCAAUAGCAUGGAAGUAAUUUAAUUAUCACACACAGCAAUGGUGUCAGCAGAAGACAGACCUAACAACAGUUCCCCCAGAUAUAAGCCAGCCAGAAAGAUGCUAAUGAAUAACAUGGUAAAAGCAUCGGGGGCGGCCUGGUGGCGCAGCGGUUAAGUUCGCACGUUCUGCUUCAGCAGCCCGGGGUUCGCCAGUUUGGAUCUUGGGUGCAGACGUACGCACUGCUUGUCAAGCCGUGCUGUGGCAGGCAUCCCACAUAUAAAGUAGAGGAAGAUGGGCACAGAUGUUAGCUCAGGGCUGAUCUUCCUAAAAAAAAAAAAA
This is a long non-coding RNA of Equus caballus (horse), 3382 nucleotides long. The record is from Ensembl. NCBI's taxonomy places the organism in Eukaryota, Metazoa, Chordata, Mammalia, Perissodactyla, Equidae.